This 2903-nucleotide ribosomal RNA is filed under the name Klebsiella aerogenes UCI 48. Its description in RNAcentral is "bacterial LSU rRNA". It matches the Rfam family "Bacterial large subunit ribosomal RNA". Lineage: Bacteria; Pseudomonadati; Pseudomonadota; Gammaproteobacteria; Enterobacterales; Enterobacteriaceae. The record is from RNAcentral.
UUAAGCGACUAAGCGUACACGGUGGAUGCCCUGGCAGUCAGAGGCGAUGAAGGACGUGCUAAUCUGCGAAAAGCGUCGGUAAGGUGAUAUGAACCGUUACAGCCGGCGAUGUCCGAAUGGGGAAACCCAGUGUGAUUCGUCACACUAUCGUUAACUGAAUACAUAGGUUAACGAGGCGAACCGGGGGAACUGAAACAUCUAAGUACCCCGAGGAAAAGAAAUCAACCGAGAUUCCCCCAGUAGCGGCGAGCGAACGGGGAGCAGCCCAGAGUCUGAAUCAGCUUGUGUGUUAGUGGAACGGUCUGGAAAGUCCGACGGUACAGGGUGAUAGUCCCGUACACCAAAAUGCACAGGCUGUGAACUCGAAGAGUAGGGCGGGACACGUGGUAUCCUGUCUGAAUAUGGGGGGACCAUCCUCCAAGGCUAAAUACUCCUGACUGACCGAUAGUGAACCAGUACCGUGAGGGAAAGGCGAAAAGAACCCCGGCGAGGGGAGUGAAAAAGAACCUGAAACCGUGUACGUACAAGCAGUGGGAGCACCUUCGGGUGUGACUGCGUACCUUUUGUAUAAUGGGUCAGCGACUUAUAUUCUGUAGCAAGGUUAACCGUAUAGGGGAGCCGCAGGGAAACCGAGUCUUAACUGGGCGUUAAGUUGCAGGGUAUAGACCCGAAACCCGGUGAUCUAGCCAUGGGCAGGUUGAAGGUUGGGUAACACUAACUGGAGGACCGAACCGACUAAUGUUGAAAAAUUAGCGGAUGACUUGUGGCUGGGGGUGAAAGGCCAAUCAAACCGGGAGAUAGCUGGUUCUCCCCGAAAGCUAUUUAGGUAGCGCCUCGUGAAUUCAUCUUCGGGGGUAGAGCACUGUUUCGGCUAGGGGGUCAUCCCGACUUACCAACCCGAUGCAAACUACGAAUACCGAAGAAUGUUAUCACGGGAGACACACGGCGGGUGCUAACGUCCGUCGUGAAGAGGGAAACAACCCAGACCGCCAGCUAAGGUCCCAAAGUCACAGUUAAGUGGGAAACGAUGUGGGAAGGCACAGACAGCCAGGAUGUUGGCUUAGAAGCAGCCAUCAUUUAAAGAAAGCGUAAUAGCUCACUGGUCGAGUCGGCCUGCGCGGAAGAUGUAACGGGGCUAAACUGUGCACCGAAGCUGCGGCAGCGACACUAUGUGUUGUUGGGUAGGGGAGCGUUCUGUAAGCCUGCGAAGGUGGCCUGUGAGGGUUGCUGGAGGUAUCAGAAGUGCGAAUGCUGACAUAAGUAACGAUAAUGCGGGUGAAAAGCCCGCACGCCGGAAGACCAAGGGUUCCUGUCCAACGUUAAUCGGGGCAGGGUGAGUCGACCCCUAAGGCGAGGCCGAAAGGCGUAGUCGAUGGGAAACAGGUUAAUAUUCCUGUACUUGGUGUUACUGCGAAGGGGGGACGGAGAAGGCUAUGUUAGCCGGGCGACGGUUGUCCCGGUUUAAGCAUGUAGGCGGAGGUUCCAGGUAAAUCCGGUACCUUUUUAACGCUGAGGUGUGAUGACGAGGCACUACGGUGCUGAAGUAACAAAUGCCCUGCUUCCAGGAAAAGCCUCUAAGCAUCAGGUAACAUUAAAUCGUACCCCAAACCGACACAGGUGGUCAGGUAGAGAAUACCAAGGCGCUUGAGAGAACUCGGGUGAAGGAACUAGGCAAAAUGGUGCCGUAACUUCGGGAGAAGGCACGCUGAUAUGUAGGUGAAGCCCCUGCGGGUGGAGCUGAAAUCAGUCGAAGAUACCAGCUGGCUGCAACUGUUUAUUAAAAACACAGCACUGUGCAAACACGAAAGUGGACGUAUACGGUGUGACGCCUGCCCGGUGCCGGAAGGUUAAUUGAUGGGGUUAUCCGUAAGGAGAAGCUCUUGAUCGAAGCCCCGGUAAACGGCGGCCGUAACUAUAACGGUCCUAAGGUAGCGAAAUUCCUUGUCGGGUAAGUUCCGACCUGCACGAAUGGCGUAAUGAUGGCCAGGCUGUCUCCACCCGAGACUCAGUGAAAUUGAACUCGCUGUGAAGAUGCAGUGUACCCGCGGCAAGACGGAAAGACCCCGUGAACCUUUACUAUAGCUUGACACUGAACAUUGAGCCUUGAUGUGUAGGAUAGGUGGGAGGCUUUGAAGCGUGGACGCCAGUCUGCGUGGAGCCAACCUUGAAAUACCACCCUUUAAUGUUUGAUGUUCUAACGUUGGCCCGUUAUCGGGGUUGCGGACAGUGUCUGGUGGGUAGUUUGACUGGGGCGGUCUCCUCCCAAAGAGUAACGGAGGAGCACGAAGGUUAGCUAAUCCUGGUCGGACAUCAGGAGGUUAGUGCAAUGGCAUAAGCUAGCUUGACUGCGAGCGUGACGGCGCGAGCAGGUGCGAAAGCAGGUCAUAGUGAUCCGGUGGUUCUGAAUGGAAGGGCCAUCGCUCAACGGAUAAAAGGUACUCCGGGGAUAACAGGCUGAUACCGCCCAAGAGUUCAUAUCGACGGCGGUGUUUGGCACCUCGAUGUCGGCUCAUCACAUCCUGGGGCUGAAGUAGGUCCCAAGGGUAUGGCUGUUCGCCAUUUAAAGUGGUACGCGAGCUGGGUUUAGAACGUCGUGAGACAGUUCGGUCCCUAUCUGCCGUGGGCGCUGGAGAAUUGAGGGGGGCUGCUCCUAGUACGAGAGGACCGGAGUGGACGCAUCACUGGUGUUCGGGUUGUCAUGCCAAUGGCAUUGCCCGGUAGCUAAAUGCGGAAGAGAUAAGUGCUGAAAGCAUCUAAGCACGAAACUUGCCCCGAGAUGAGUUCUCCCUGAGACUUAAAGUCUCCUGAAGGAACGUUAAAGACGAUGACGUUGAUAGGUCGGGUGUGUAAGCGUAGCGAUACGUUGAGCUAACCGAUACUAAUGAACCGUGAGGCUUAACCUU